This 443-nucleotide ribosomal RNA is filed under the name uncultured bacterium. RNAcentral's name for it is "SSU rRNA". It matches the Rfam family "Bacterial small subunit ribosomal RNA", at positions 26 to 518 of the family's 1533-position model. The record is from RNAcentral.
AGAGCGAACGCUGGCGGCAGGCCUAAUACAUGCAAGUCGAACGCACCUUCGGGUGAGUGGCGGACGGGUGAGUAACACGUGGGAACGUGCCUUUUGGUUCGGAAUAAUCCGGGGAAACCUGGCCUAAUACCGGAUGUGCCCUUCGGGGGAAAGAUUUAUCGCCAUUAGAGCGGCCCGCGUCUGAUUAGCUUGUUGGUGGGGUAAUGGCCCACCAAGGCUACGAUCAGUAGCUGGUCUGAGAGGAUGAUCAGCCACACUGGGACUGAGACACGGCCCAGACUCCUACGGGAGGCAGCAGUAGGGAAUCUUGCGCAAUGGGCGAAAGCCUGACGCAGCCAUGCCGCGUGAAUGAUGAAGGUCUUAGGAUUGUAAAAUUCUUUCAGCGGGAAGAUAAUGACUGUACCCGCAGAAGAAGCUCCGGCUAACUUCGCGCCAGCAGCCGC